GACGAACGCUGGCGGCGUGCUUAACACAUGCAAGUCGAGCGGUAAGGCCCUUUCGGGGGUACACGAGCGGCGAACGGGUGAGUAACACGUGGGUGACCUGCCCUCAGCUCUGGGAUAAGCCUGGGAAGCUGGGUCUAAUACCGGAUAUGACUCCAUGACGCAUGUUGUGGGGUGGAAAGCCUUGUGCGGCUGAGGAUGGGCCCGCGGCCUAUCAGCUUGUUGGUGGGGUGAUGGCCUACCAAGGCGACGACGGGUAGCCGGCCUGAGAGGGCGACCGGCCACACUGGGACUGAGACACGGCCCAGACUCCUACGGGAGGCAGCAGUGGGGAAUCUUGCGCAAUGGGCGAAAGCCUGACGCAGCGACGCCGCGUGAGGGAUGACGGCCU
This 388-nucleotide ribosomal RNA is filed under the name uncultured bacterium. RNAcentral describes it as "bacterial SSU rRNA". It matches the Rfam family "Bacterial small subunit ribosomal RNA", at positions 28 to 417 of the family's 1533-position model. The record is from RNAcentral.